CCAUUGUUUUGUUUAUUCUGGGUUUGAUUCUGCCAUGCCUGCUAGCCUGAUCACUGCAGGUCUUUAUUUAUGUCUUUUGCCUUGUGAUCUGGCAAAAUCCACCCUGAGAAAUCUGAGAAGGGUUACAAAGCUAUUUCAAAGGCUCUGGGACUCCAAAGAACCACAGUGAGAGCUGUUAUCUCCAACCGGAACAAUUCAGCACAGUAGUGAACCUUCCCAGAAGUGGCCGACCCAGAAAGAGUGUCUUAUUACACAGUUGAGGGUAAAUCAAACCUGCAAAUUAAAUACUACAUUAAAUCCUAAUGUCAGUGCGAAACUGUCCACAUUUCCUUAUGUCCAGCAGUCAGAGAGCCUGUGCUGGGAUUUGGAGUCAACACUUCUGUUACUCAGCUAGUGCAGCCUUCAGAUGUUGGCAUGAAGCAGCAGUUGCACGUCACAGCCGAUGAAAAUUAGACUCCACAAACUCAG
Molecule: long non-coding RNA, 468 nt
Organism: Ictalurus punctatus (channel catfish)
Lineage: Eukaryota; Metazoa; Chordata; Actinopteri; Siluriformes; Ictaluridae
Source: Ensembl